RNAcentral lists this long non-coding RNA (242 nucleotides) under Sorghum bicolor (sorghum). RNAcentral describes it as "long non-coding RNA (SBIC_LNC015948)". Lineage: Eukaryota; Viridiplantae; Streptophyta; Magnoliopsida; Poales; Poaceae. The record is from RNAcentral.
GUCUGCCAGCAAAUAGAGACUUUACAUGACUCCUACCGAAUAUCCGAACGUGGGGGAAUACAAAGGAUGAUAGGGCUGUCACCACCCUGCCACCUACCCCUAUGCCCGUGGGAUACCCGCAUAUCCUCAGGUCUCCGCAUACCCGGGCACCAUGCCCGUGUACUUGGAAACACCCCCUAGCCUCCCGAGACCCCAACCCUUUGGAUUGACAGGCUCGGCUAAGGGUGACCAUUACAGCCCAG